UAAAAGCUUGGUCCUGGCUUUUCUGUCAUCUCCGGCUAAAUUUACACAUGCAAGUAUCCGCACCCCCGUGAGAAUGCCCCACAGUCUCCCUCCCCGGGGACAAGGAGCUGGUAUCAGGCACAUUAAUAUGCCCGCCCACGACACCUUGCUCAGCCACACCCUCAAGGGAAUUCAGCAGUGAUAAACAUUAAGCCAUAAGUGAAAACUUGACUUAGUUACAGCCCCCAGGGCCGGUAAAACUCGUGCCAGCCACCGCGGUUAUACGAGAGGCCCAAGCUGACAGCCCCCGGCGUAAAGAGUGGUUAAGUUAACCCUAAUGUGACUAAAGUCGAACGCCCCCAAGACCGUUAUACGUGCUCGGAGGUAUGAAGCCCAACUACGAAAGUGGCUUUAAAAUACCUGACCCCACGAAAGCUGUGAAACAAACUGGGAUUAGAUACCCCACUAUG
This 449-nucleotide ribosomal RNA is filed under the name Chelon ramada (thin-lipped mullet). RNAcentral describes it as "partial small subunit ribosomal RNA". It matches the Rfam family "Bacterial small subunit ribosomal RNA", at positions 6 to 794 of the family's 1533-position model. The record is from RNAcentral. Lineage: Eukaryota; Metazoa; Chordata; Actinopteri; Mugiliformes; Mugilidae.